Molecule: ribosomal RNA, 465 nt
Filed under: uncultured bacterium
Lineage: Bacteria
Description: partial 16S ribosomal RNA
Rfam family: Bacterial small subunit ribosomal RNA
Source: RNAcentral
GACGAACGCUGGCGGCGUGCUUAACACAUGCAAGUCGAACGGAAAGGCCCCUUCGGGGGUACUCGAGUGGCGAACAGGUGAGUAACACGUGAGUAACCUGCCCUUGACUUCGGGAUAACUUCAGGAAACUGGGGCUAAUACCGGAUAGGAAUCCUUGCUGCAUGGUGGGGGUUGGAAAGCUUCGGCGGUUUUGGAUGGACUCGCGGCUUAUCAGCUUGUUGGUGGGGUAGUGGCUUACCAAGGCUUUGACGGGUAGCCGGCCUGAGAGGGCGACCGGCCACAUUGGGACUGAGAUACGGCCCAGACUCCUACGGGAGGCAGAAGUGGGGAAUAUUGCACAAUGGGCGGAAGCCUGAUGCAGCAACGCCGCGUGCGGGAUGACGGCCUUCGGGUUGUAAACCGCUUUCAGCAGGGGCGAAGCUUGUGGUGACGGUACCUGCAGAAGAAGCACCGGCUAACUACGUG